This 1134-nucleotide unclassified non-coding RNA is filed under the name Hevea brasiliensis (rubber tree). Lineage: Eukaryota; Viridiplantae; Streptophyta; Magnoliopsida; Malpighiales; Euphorbiaceae. The record is from RNAcentral.
GUUCAAGGCUUCAUUCCACAUGUUCGCAGCAUAUGCAGGCUGAAGGUGGUUCCAAACAGUCAUGACAGAAGCAACCAGAUUAGCAUCCAAGGGUGAGGGGUAAUUUCCAUCAAUUGUGUCUAUCCAGCUAAAUAUUAAGUUGUGGUAACCAUAAGGCAUGCCUGCCAUGCUUUUUGCAUAUUCCCAAGCAGCAGUUUCAUUAAACUUGGCACGGAGGUCAGGGUGCAAAGGCAGCAACGCAAUAUGUGGAUUGGAAUCAUCUUUUUUCACCUCAAACUCCCACCAUUCUUCCCAAGGCAAUAUAGCAAUAACAUCUUCUCCCUUAUCAUUCUCAUUUCCAGAUUCGCCAACCCAUAGUUUUCCUUCAGAGUCUCUCAAGCAAACAGCAGAAUGGCCAGCAUAAGCUCCCGAUACCCAUUUCUCUAAAGUCUCAAAAGCACCCCAGCGACCUCUGAUUUUUGAUAAUGCAAGAAAAUCUCCAGAAUGUAUGUCAUCAGUAUUAGUAAGGUUGGUAACCCAUGGCUGCGGACGUUUUUCAAAUGAAGUACCCAUAUGUUUCUUGAGAAAACCAAUAUUUGAGUUCUCACCCCAUAAAGUAUUAGAGAACAAAGGAAGAACAUCCCAUAGUGCUGAAAGGGUUCCUAACAUUCCUGCUUGCAUUAGGAAAAUUGAGAUACCUUUAUGUUUGACAUAUUCUAACUCAGCCUGAGACUCCCACUCUUUGAUUUCAAGAGUAUGUUCACGAGACAAUACGUAGUAGUCCCAUGUUACACGAUAUGGGGUUGCAAAGACGUAAAGGUCCAUACAUGUCCAACUGUGUGCAUUGCUCACCUUGAUAUGAAGGGUUCCUCCACCAAAUUGACUUUUAGAUUUGUUGUGAAGCUCCAACCAAGCAAUAUUCUUGAAAAAGCAAGCACCUUUCCACUCCAAUGUAUUAUUCCCUUCAAUUGAAGCACCCCCAACAAAAGAGGGCAGAAUAUCUACUGCACUGUAAAGGGAGUUUAGUAUAGGCCAUGAAACUUGUCUUGGUAAUAAAGGCAAAACAUCUUUUGGAUGAAAUGGUGUUUUAAACCCAUGAAUCUGCCAUGAAACAAACUGAAAAAGAAACAAGAAAGUGAUAAAGCUGUGAUUUUU